Molecule: non-coding RNA, 125 nt
Organism: Triticum aestivum (bread wheat)
Lineage: Eukaryota; Viridiplantae; Streptophyta; Magnoliopsida; Poales; Poaceae
Source: Rfam
UAAUUACUCCCUUCGUUCCAAAUUACUUGUAUAAAAAACGGAUAAAAAUGGAUGUAUCUACAACUAAAAUACGUCUAGAUCCAUCCACUUCUGUGACAAGUAAUUCCAAACGGAAGGAGUACUUA